This is a long non-coding RNA of Rhipicephalus sanguineus (brown dog tick), 688 nucleotides long. RefSeq lists it as uncharacterized. Lineage: Eukaryota; Metazoa; Arthropoda; Arachnida; Ixodida; Ixodidae. The record is from RefSeq and is a predicted model, not a curated record. The transcript is spliced from 3 exons.
CGUACUGCCGGAGCACCACCAGCUUCCCGUGAACACAUGUGUGCCGCGCUUACAUGUUUAUCGUGUAUUGUGUGCGUUUAUUGCGUGCUUAUCGUACGCGACAUUCGUCGACUGGGCAUUUUCCGCGUGUUGGGGCGUUCUCCUGCCUUGAUCCAGUGGCGGAUGAUGGUCGUUGUUCGUUGCCACUCAACACAGCCUCACGGGACGCACAGCUUUGUGUCCGCGCUCAAAAGUGCUUUCUUGCUUCGUUCAUCGAUUACUCACGUUGAUCGAGUGAUCGAGUGUACUUCCGAAGACAAUCCGCGUCCGAGUGUUUUGACAAGCGGCGACCGCGGUUCCACAGGAGCGGAAGCUUGAGCCUUUUGACGAGCGACUGUGCCAAACUUGGGUAAGUUGAAGAAGGUCGCUGAACUACGUAACUUUGUUACUUCAUUGCAUGAAAACUGUUUGCAGGAACCGUCGUGUUGGCACAGCGAGGAUGAUCAACAGAUACCCGAUAGGCAGCGAUGAGAGCUGUUCAUGGCACCGACACAGAGGACAGAUUGCAGUACAAGAUAGGAGCAUACUUCCUGCAAGCCCGGGCAAGCCAUAAUGAGUGGUUUCAAAUACAGCAACUGUACCACCACAACAGUGCAGCACAGGAGAGCCUAUCGUCAGUGCCGCGUCGAGAAAUUAAAUAAAAAAGCAC